This 1680-nucleotide long non-coding RNA is filed under the name Homo sapiens (human). RNAcentral's name for it is "HSALNT0364464". Lineage: Eukaryota; Metazoa; Chordata; Mammalia; Primates; Hominidae. The record is from RNAcentral.
GAGAUAAAUAGUUGGGAGCUAGAGCUCGCUAGAGAGUCUAAGAUUGAGCUAAAUAUUUCCUGAUCUCUCGAGAAAGGGGGAGGGGAGUGGGAGGAUUAAAUGUUCCUUCCUUCAGGGCAGUGGUUAGGCUUUCUCUCCACCAAAAUCUAACUUUAGCUGUAAAGAAGACUGCAGUUAUGUAGUACUUUGUAUCCAGGGAUCUCAAAGAACUUUACGCAUCAUUUAUUGUGAACCUUGUUUUGCAAAGAUUUCAGUUACUUGAGGCUUGGGAGGCGGAUAGGGGAUAAAUGUCUGAGUUAUAUAUAUAUUUACGCAAGUAAUCGAGUUUGAGGGGAGAGACACAAAACCUCUGGUUUAGCGGUUUCCUCUUGUUUGUGAAGCACCUUCUAGCAGUUAUCUUAGAGAUGUAAGUUCAUUUACUUGUCCAGCACUAAAAGGCCAAAGGGGCUUGUUUUCUCACCCAAAAGACCUUCCUGAGGCAGCUGUUCGGAUACAUGCAGAGCACAGCGCCCUGCUCAGAAAGGAAGGUUCAGAGAACAAAUUGUCGUUUAAAACUAUUGGGACAAACCUACCUCUUCUAAAGCUUAAAAUGGUCUCCAGCGUACCAGGAUUUGUGAAGGCCUGAAGUUCGUAGAAUGAAAUCUAUGUGGAGAUGAUUUAAAAGAACGGUUUCACUGCUGUCUCCUCUCUGUCCCUUUUUAGAGACCAACACAUAUAAACCAAGUCUACACAAGAAACAAAGCUAAAAUCCUUUCGAAAUGAGUUCCUUUAAGUUCUUCAGUAACUAAAUCCUCCAGAAAGGAAAGCCGAGAGAAUCUAGUCCUAUACAAUAACACCCUCUAACAAAGAUCGCUAAAGGAAGAUUUUAGUAGAUGAAUAUCUUCAAUAAUACAUGGUCACAUACAUGUAUCUGACCAUAUGAUGGCUCUCUGCACCAAAUUCCUCCAAACUAUUAUAAUAUGUAUUGUCUGUAGUGCUAUUUAUUUGGCAGUUAAUCAUGUAUUACAUUGUGACAUUUCUUACAGUGAACCAUUAUGUAUGUGUUUAUGUUCUGCCCUCAACUACUCAAUGCCAGUACCUUAUUCUUAACACAGCAACCACCCUUUCUGGUCUGUCCUCACACCCUCAUUCCCAUCAUAGUUAUUCUCCUCUCUCAUGGAAAUGUUCAGUUUCUGGACAUCUCCUUUCUCUUCCAUUCUUCACCUGACCUUCCUUCCUUUCUUGGCCAGCCUGAAUAUUAUAAAGGGAAUUUUAUUUCAAACCCAGGAUCGCACUUAAGAGGAAAAGAAACAAAAGCCAGUUCUUUUUAUUGCACAUAGAACAAGGAGAAACUCCACCCCUUUUGUUGUCUGGUAUGUUUAAAACAAGAAAGAACUUUAGAAAAGUAGGAUAUGAGUGAAAAUUACAACCAAUGUUGAGAACUACUUUUUAAUUUUUUAUUACAAAAUUAGGAUGAUACUUCAUUAAACAUUGUACAUCAUUUCAAAACUGUUAUCUCAUAAUCAUGUUGCUUGUUUUGAAUUAUUCUUUUAAAGUGUAAUUUUUUUAAGCAAAGAAUCCAUAAAAUUACAUGGCUUGGAUGUACCAUAACUUACUUAAUCCUUAUGCUAUUGUUUAAUAUGUGGGUUGUUUCAGAUUUUUCAUGAUUGUAAAUAACAAAAUAAACUUCCUUAUACUUAA